This 276-nucleotide ribosomal RNA is filed under the name uncultured prokaryote. RNAcentral describes it as "partial 16S ribosomal RNA". It matches the Rfam family "Bacterial small subunit ribosomal RNA", at positions 524 to 800 of the family's 1533-position model. The record is from RNAcentral.
UACGUAGGGGCAAGCGUUGUCCGGAUUUACUGGGAGUAAAGGGAGCGUAGGCGGACUUUUAAGUGAGAUGUGAAAUACCCGGGCUUAACUUGGGUGCUGCAUUUCAAACUGGAAGUCUAGAGUGCAGGAGAGGAGAAGGGAAUUCCUAGUGUAGCGGUGAAAUGCGUAGAGAUUAGGAAGAACACCAGUGGCGAAGGCGCUUCUCUGGACUGUAACUGACGCUGAGGCUCGAAAGCGUGGGGAGCAAACAGGAUUAGAUACCCGCGUAGUCCCUGA